RNAcentral lists this ribosomal RNA (767 nucleotides) under uncultured Granulicatella sp. Its description in RNAcentral is "bacterial SSU rRNA". It matches the Rfam family "Bacterial small subunit ribosomal RNA", at positions 28 to 776 of the family's 1533-position model. The record is from RNAcentral. Lineage: Bacteria; Bacillati; Bacillota; Bacilli; Lactobacillales; Carnobacteriaceae.
GACGAACGCUGGCGGCGUGCCUAAUACAUGCAAGUCGAACGAGAGCGACCGGUGCUUGCACUGGUCAAUCUAGUGGCGAACGGGUGAGUAACACGUGGGUAACCUGCCCAUCAGAGGGGGAUAACAUUCGGAAACGGAUGCUAAAACCGCAUAGGUCUUCGAACCGCAUGGUUUGAAGAGGAAAAGAGGCGCAAGCUUCUGCUGAUGGAUGGACCCGCGGUGCAUUAGCUAGUUGGUGAGGUAACGGCUCACCAAGGCCGUGAUGCAUAGCCGACCCGAGAGGGUGAUCGGCCACAUUGGGACUGAGACACGGCCCAAACUCCUACGGGAGGCAGCAGUAGGGAAUCUUCCGCAAUGGACGCAAGUCUGACGGAGCAACGCCGCGUGAGUGAAGAAGGUUUUCGGAUCGUAAAACUCUGUUGUUAGAGAAGAACAAGUGCUAGAGUAACUGUUAGCGCCUUGACGGUAUCUAACCAGAAAGCCACGGCUAACUACGUGCCAGCAGCCGCGGUAAUACGUAGGUGGCAAGCGUUGUCCGGAUUUAUUGGGCGUAAAGCGAGCGCAGGCGGUUCCUUAAGUCUGAUGUGAAAGCCCCCGGCUCAACCGGGGAGGGUCAUUGGAAACUGGGGAACUUGAGUGCAGAAGAGGAGAGUGGAAUUCCAUGUGUAGCGGUGAAAUGCGUAGAUAUAUGGAGGAACACCAGUGGCGAAGGCGACUCUCUGGUCUGUAACUGACGCUGAGGCUCGAAAGCGUGGGUAGCAGACAGG